ACAACCAUGCUCUGGCAGUUGGCCUGAGCAGUACUCUCUACUCCCAUGCAGCUCCUGUGUCCAGAAUGCUCCAGGAAGGGCUUCUGCAUGUCCCUCUGCAGACCUGUACACUUUGCCCCCACUGAGACCAGGGAACUGCUUUUAUGCCUUCUUGGGAUUCUGGCUCCCUGAGGCACCCUGGGCAUUCAGCAAGGAAAGGCAUGAGUGGCACCAUGGCUGGGAUGCCAGGGACCUGGGCAAGCUCCUGCCUUUGCCAAGAAACUACCCUACGUUCUAGUUGUUACUCUGUCUCAAUGGGACCCCACCCUUACCAGAUCCCUGGUCUCCUACGAAGCUACCGUUUUCUUGUGGGAGGCACCCAUGGCAGACAAGCUGCUUACCAUCUUUUAUCCCUUAAUACCCAGCAGCAGUUCCCAGAAGCCAUACAUGUCCCUGCUGCUGGAGGCAUUUCAAGUCCACAUCAGGAGGCCUGGGGCGGCAGCGGUACAUAGGGAGGAAGACUGAACUCCAAGACAGGGAAAAAGCCACAGGCGACCCAGGAGAGGUCCCAGUUGAUUCCACAGAAAUAUGACCCAGCAACUGAGAGAAGAAAGG
This is a long non-coding RNA of Ochotona princeps (American pika), 594 nucleotides long. RefSeq lists it as uncharacterized. NCBI's taxonomy places the organism in Eukaryota, Metazoa, Chordata, Mammalia, Lagomorpha, Ochotonidae. The transcript has 3 exons. The record is from RefSeq and is a predicted model, not a curated record.